UGGAGAAGGGGAGCACGUGCAAGUUCACUUGGCACGAGGGAGCAAGUCUUUUGCACGUGCCCUGCUUCUCCAAC
This is a non-coding RNA of Nelumbo nucifera (sacred lotus), 74 nucleotides long. Lineage: Eukaryota; Viridiplantae; Streptophyta; Magnoliopsida; Proteales; Nelumbonaceae. The record is from Rfam.